This 1536-nucleotide ribosomal RNA is filed under the name Escherichia coli. RNAcentral describes it as "bacterial SSU rRNA". It matches the Rfam family "Bacterial small subunit ribosomal RNA". The record is from RNAcentral. Lineage: Bacteria; Pseudomonadati; Pseudomonadota; Gammaproteobacteria; Enterobacterales; Enterobacteriaceae.
CUUUUACAAUGAAGAGUUUGAUCCUGGCUCAGGAUGAACGCUAGCUACAGGCUUAACACAUGCAAGUCGAGGGGCAGCAUUUCAGUUUGCUUGCAAACUGGAGAUGGCGACCGGCGCACGGGUGAGUAACACGUAUCCAACCUGCCGAUAACUCGGGGAUAGCCUUUCGAAAGAAAGAUUAAUACCCGAUGGCAUAAUUAGACCGCAUGGUCUUAUUAUUAAAGAAUUUCGGUUAUCGAUGGGGAUGCGUUCCAUUAGGCAGUUGGUGAGGUAACGGCUCACCAAACCUUCGAUGGAUAGGGGUUCUGAGAGGAAGGUCCCCCACAUUGGAACUGAGACACGGUCCAAACUCCUACGGGAGGCAGCAGUGAGGAAUAUUGGUCAAUGGACGAGAGUCUGAACCAGCCAAGUAGCGUGAAGGAUGACUGCCCUAUGGGUUGUAAACUUCUUUUAUAUGGGAAUAAAGUUUUCCACGUGUGGAAUUUUGUAUGUACCAUAUGAAUAAGGAUCGGCUAACUCCGUGCCAGCAGCCGCGGUAAUACGGAGGAUCCGAGCGUUAUCCGGAUUUAUUGGGUUUAAAGGGAGCGUAGGUGGACAGUUAAGUCAGUUGUGAAAGUUUGCGGCUCAACCGUAAAAUUGCAGUUGAUACUGGCUGUCUUGAGUACAGUAGAGGUGGGCGGAAUUCGUGGUGUAGCGGUGAAAUGCUUAGAUAUCACGAAGAACUCCGAUUGCGAAGGCAGCUCACUGGACUGCAACUGACACUGAUGCUCGAAAGUGUGGGUAUCAAACAGGAUUAGAUACCCUGGUAGUCCACACAGUAAACGAUGAAUACUCGCUGUUUGCGAUAUACAGUAAGCGGCCAAGCGAAAGCGUUAAGUAUUCCACCUGGGGAGUACGCCGGCAACGGUGAAACUCAAAGGAAUUGACGGGGGCCCGCACAAGCGGAGGAACAUGUGGUUUAAUUCGAUGAUACGCGAGGAACCUUACCCGGGCUUAAAUUGCAUUUGAAUAAUCUGGAAACAGGUUAGCCGCAAGGCAAAUGUGAAGGUGCUGCAUGGUUGUCGUCAGCUCGUGCCGUGAGGUGUCGGCUUAAGUGCCAUAACGAGCGCAACCCUUGUUGUCAGUUACUAACAGGUUCCGCUGAGGACUCUGACAAGACUGCCGUCGUAAGAUGUGAGGAAGGUGGGGAUGACGUCAAAUCAGCACGGCCCUUACGUCCGGGGCUACACACGUGUUACAAUGGGGGGUACAGAAGGCAGCUACCUGGUGACAGGAUGCUAAUCCCAAAAGCCUCUCUCAGUUCGGAUCGGAGUCUGCAACCCGACUCCGUGAAGCUGGAUUCGCUAGUAAUCGCGCAUCAGCCAUGGCGCGGUGAAUACGUUCCCGGGCCUUGUACACACCGCCCGUCAAGCCAUGGGAGCCGGGGGUACCUGAAGUACGUAACCGCAAGGAGCGUCCUAGGGUAAAACUGGUAAUUGGGGCUAAGUCGUAACAAGGUAGCCGUACCGGAAGGUGCGGCUGGAACACCUCCUUUCU